RNAcentral lists this small nucleolar RNA (209 nucleotides) under Nannospalax galili (Upper Galilee mountains blind mole rat). RNAcentral describes it as "Small nucleolar RNA U3 (ENSNGAG00000004799.1)". It matches the Rfam family "Small nucleolar RNA U3". From Rfam's summary of the family: Small nucleolar RNAs (snoRNAs) are involved in the processing and modification of rRNA in the nucleolus. There are two main classes of snoRNAs: the box C/D class, and the box H/ACA class. Lineage: Eukaryota; Metazoa; Chordata; Mammalia; Rodentia; Spalacidae. The record is from RNAcentral.
CUACAUACACGUUCAGGGAUUAUGUCUAUAGUUUGUUACCAGAUGAGUUUCUCUGACUGUGUAGGGUACCAGAAACCAUAAGGAGGGGUGUUCUCUCCUGAGUGUGAAGCUGGUUUGGGUGCUGCUCUUGGGCAGCUGCCUUUUGCCACUGAUGAUGGCUCUGCUCUGUCUCUGGUAGAGUUAGAGGGAGAGAGCACAGCCUGAAUUAU